This 486-nucleotide ribosomal RNA is filed under the name uncultured eubacterium WR863. Its description in RNAcentral is "bacterial SSU rRNA". It matches the Rfam family "Bacterial small subunit ribosomal RNA", at positions 9 to 527 of the family's 1533-position model. The record is from RNAcentral.
GAGUUUGAUCCUGGCUCAGAAUCAACGCUGGCGGCGUGCCUAACACAUGCAAGUCGCACGAGAAAGGGGCUUCGGCCCUGAGUACAGUGGCGCACGGGUGAGUAACACGUGAAUCAUCUACCUCCGAGUGGGGAAUAACCUAGGGAAACCUGGGCUAAUACCGCAUAACACUUACGAGUCAAAGCAGCAAUGCGCUUGGAGAGGAGUUCGCGGCAGAUUAGCUAGUUGGUGAGGUAAUGGCUCACCAAGGCGAUGAUCUGUAUCCGGCCUGAGAGGGCGCACGGACACACUGGAACUGAAACACGGUCCAGACUCCUACGGGAGGCAGCAGUGGGGAAUUUUGCGCAAUGGGGGAAACCCUGACGCAGCAACGCCGCGUGGAGGAUGAAAUCCCUUGGGAUGUAAACUCCUUUCGAUCGGGACGAUUAUGACGGUACCGGAAGAAGAAGCCCCGGCUAACUUCGUACCAGCAGCCGCGGUAAUACG